RNAcentral lists this transfer RNA (62 nucleotides) under Bulinus ugandae. RNAcentral describes it as "tRNA-Thr". Lineage: Eukaryota; Metazoa; Mollusca; Gastropoda; Planorbidae. The record is from RNAcentral.
UUCAGAAUAGCUUAAACAAAAGCAUUGAUUUUGUAAUUCAAAGAUAAUUAAAAUUUUCUGAA